Long non-coding RNA from Poeciliopsis prolifica (blackstripe livebearer), 306 nucleotides. RefSeq lists it as uncharacterized. The transcript has 3 exons. The record is from RefSeq and is a predicted model, not a curated record. NCBI's taxonomy places the organism in Eukaryota, Metazoa, Chordata, Actinopteri, Cyprinodontiformes, Poeciliidae.
UGUUCAGAUGUGGUACCAGUUUGGUUCUACUGCUGUUCUGUUGGGUCUCUGAUUGUUGUUCAUAAAUUCUUCUUCAGCUGUUUGGAUCAUUUGAACAAACUGUGAAGCUAGAAAGUGUGUGUGAGCUGAUGUGGAUUCAGCAGCAUGGAUCAGGGUGAGGACAGAGAGGAGGGAGUCCCUCCCUCUAAAACCACUCUGUGUGGGGAAGAUGAGAGCCAGAGCAAAGGUCAGAGGAUCCAUCAGAGACUCAAACCAGAACCAGAACCAGAACCCAGCAGUGUGUCCUUUAAGAGCGACAUGUCAAAG